This 301-nucleotide ribosomal RNA is filed under the name uncultured bacterium. Its description in RNAcentral is "partial 16S ribosomal RNA". It matches the Rfam family "Bacterial small subunit ribosomal RNA", at positions 509 to 807 of the family's 1533-position model. The record is from RNAcentral.
CAGCCGCCACGGUAAUACGGAGGGUGCAAGCGUUAAUCGGAAUUACUGGGCGUAAAGCGCACGCAGGCGGUUUGUUAAGUCAGAUGUGAAAUCCCCGAGCUUAACUUGGGAACUGCAUUUGAAACUGGCAAGCUAGAGUCUUGUAGAGGGGGGUAGAAUUCCAGGUGUAGCGGUGAAAUGCGUAGAGAUCUGGAGGAAUACCGGUGGCGAAGGCGGCCCCCUGGACAAAGACUGACGCUCAGGUGCGAAAGCGUGGGGAGCAAACAGGAUUAGAUACCCGAGUAGUCCCUGUCUCUUAUAC